CAGCAAGGGGAAAAACAAGCACAACUUUCUCCUUGCCAUGCUUCAAGCCUUCGCAGGAAGAAAGCAAUGAAAAACUCCUGAAGACCUUGGUAGCAAAAGAAACACAACAGAUUUUCCCUGUGAACCUCUGAAGCCAAGACACCACCACAGCUGCUAUCAGGACUUGCUUCUACCUCUCUCAGCACUGUCUGUUUAUUCACUUUUUAUUAUUCAGGUACAAAGGAGGAUUUAUUGUGGGAACAAGAGCCUUUGAUGGCAAAUCAAUGCCACUUCAGAAAAAAAGAGAAGCUGAAAACAGCCACAAGCACUAGGUGAGUUUCCUUACCUGUUUUUCCUCCAUUGUCCACAUCUCUUGGGGCAAUAGUUUCCUUUCAACAAUCCUCCUCUUGCUAACAAGCAGCCAGAUGACUUGUCCCUCGGUUGCAGCUUGUUGCAUACUACAGGAGGUUUCACAGCCUGGGCAGCUACUUCAGCAAAGGUUUGGGAAGGAAAUAGACUAUUUACAAGAAGACUGCAAUACAUUUAAAAUGACAGAUGAUAGUAGUUUCCAAGAGCUGGACAGUGACCGGUCAGAAAGCAAUGAAGAAAUUGAGAUUAUAGUCAAUGUCGGUGGGGUACGGCAGGUGCUGUAUGGAGAUCAUCUCAACCGGUACCCAGGCACAAGGCUAGCAGAGCUCAUGAACUGUUUAUCAGGGGGAUAUGACACUAUUUUCUCACUUUGUGAUGACUAUGAUCCUGGGGAAAAAGAAUUUUAUUUUGACAGAGAUCCCGAUGCUUUUAAAUGCAUCGUCGACGUAUAUUACUUUGGGGAGGUUCACAUGAAGAAGGGAAUAUGUCCUAUUUGUUUCAAGAAUGAAAUGGAAUUUUGGAAAGUGGAUCUUAAAUUCCUGGAUGACUGCUGCAAAACUCACCUCAGUGAAAAGAAGGAGGAACUAGAAGAGAUAGCCCGUAGGGUCCAGUUGAUCUUGGAUGACUUGGGACUGGACACCUCCUUAAACCGCUGGAAAAGAUGCCAGAAAUAUAUUUGGAAAUUCAUGGAAAAACCAGAAUCUUCCUACCCUGCUAGAGUAAUCGCUGUCCUGUCUUUUCUAUUCAUCCUAACAUCCUCUGUAGUUAUGUGUGUGGGGACCAUUCCAGAGCUGCAGGUGGUGGACUCUGAAGGCAAAUCUGCAGAGCACCCUGUUCUAGAUAAGAUAGAGACGGCUUGCAUAGGCUGGUUUACCCUCGAGUAUGCCCUUAGGCUCAUCUCAUCUCCUAAUAAACUACACUUUGCUCUUUCUUUCAUGAACAUCAUUGACAUCUUUGCAAUCCUUCCUUUCUAUGUCAGCUUAAUACUGACCCACUUGGGUGCCAAACUGAUGGAGUUAACGAACGUGCAGCAAGCCAUCCAAGCACUCCGGAUCAUGAGAAUUGCAAGGAUCUUCAAGCUAGCACGCCAUUCAUCAGGUCUACAGACUUUAACCUAUGCUCUUAAGAGAAGCUUUAAGGAACUGGGGCUUCUUCUGAUGUACUUGGCCGUUGGAAUCUUUGUAUUUUCUGCCCUUGGGUAUACAAUGGAGCAGAGCCACCCUGAGACACUGUUUAAGAGUAUCCCUCAGUCAUUCUGGUGGGCCAUCAUAACCAUGACGACUGUGGGUUAUGGGGACAUCUAUCCAAAGACAACGCUAGGGAAACUCAACGCUGCCAUCAGUUUCCUUUGCGGGGUUAUAGCCAUCGCACUACCAAUCCACCCCAUCAUUAAUAACUUUGUCAGAUAUUAUAACAAGCAGAGAGUGUUAGAAACAGCUGCUAAGCAUGAACUGGAACUGAUGGGGCUAAAUAUGGGGGAUAAAAAAGGUGGACAUGAAGAUGAGCUAGCAUAUGUUUUGAAGGAGGGAAGGGAUGAUCCUCGGUGGAGCAGUCAUCUCAAAGUCUCCUACAGCGACACUUUCAUUUGCUUUCUGUCAGAUGAUAAACACCACCGAACCAGGCUUCAGAGCUGAGAGUAGAAAAAUGAGACCUUCAAAAACCUCCAGCUUCUGGAUUGGAAUUGAGGACAGGGAAACUGCUGCAAAGGAAGAGGAAGAUCUUCACUUUCUGCUCAUGUCUGAGCGGUGUGCAUGGUUAUGUUUAUCCUCGCAACAACCCUGUGAGCCUUAGGUCAUCCCAUCUUCCUCCCUGAGAGCAGCCUUGCUACCACAGAGAGCAAAGCACCUGAGCUGGACUGCAGAGGCCCUGCUUUGACACCUCCAGCACCUUACCCCAAGUCUUGUGUUGAAGGGGAAGGCAGAAUUUACCCCACUCUGAGUUGCUGGCCAAUCUGACCUGAGGGGAAAAUGUCUUCCUGACUCCAAAACCAGUCAGAAUCUGAACAUGAGCAAAACCCAACCAAAGAAAACUUAGUUGGGUGCAGCUCUAUGCCACCCAACAUCGUUUCCCUUACUGUGACAGUUCCUGACACCUUGAGGAAAUGGAGAUAUUUGUGGAUCGCCAGGGACUGGAUCUACAGGACUAUGAGCCCCAUCACUUCUGAUUGCUGUUUAAAACAGGCCUUUUAAAAGAGAGAGAGAGAGUUUUGCAACUCCGCUCUAGUACUAAGCAAUGCAACAUUCUAAACUUGCAUGCACUGAAAUAAUCUCAAUGUUUGCUGUCAUCUGAGGUAAACCCUCUCUCUACAAAAGUUUUGGCUUUUCUGUUUUUGUGUUUUGUUCUUAAACUCCUCUUGUUGGUUGCAAAAAGUUUCACCUGCUCAAACCCUCAUCAUUUGCAGAGCUGUGUAGUAUUGUACCUCAAAAGGGAGACUGAAGCCACUUCAGUCAUUCACAGACUCAGUUGCUCCCCUUGGUUUAAUCUGUGAGUUAAUUGCUCUUGUCUGCGGACAGCUGCACUACGAUACACUUAAUUGCUUCAGAAUAAGCAUUGAAGAAAAUCAAUGACUUUUUAAAAACUCCCUUCAAGAGGAUAUUAGCUUCAGCAGCAGCACACUGUAUGUAGACACACACACAGACACACACACAGAGCUUUACAUAUACCUUAUAUGAACGAAUGCUUUGAAGAGUAUGUACGUCCUAGGCAUAUUGCUUUGAAAACAUUGUUGAAAACCAGCAAAACAGCACUUGUGAUGUACCAUAUGACCUAAUUUGAACGUAUACUAUAAAUCCAUCCUUUUAUGGGUUGUAGAAAAUGUCAGUUAAGAAAUGUUGUUAGUUUGUACAUUCCAUUACAAU
This is an RNA transcript of Hemicordylus capensis (graceful crag lizard), 3206 nucleotides long. It is a transcript of the gene named potassium voltage-gated channel modifier subfamily F member 1, with no coding region annotated. The record is from RefSeq and is a predicted model, not a curated record. NCBI's taxonomy places the organism in Eukaryota, Metazoa, Chordata, Lepidosauria, Squamata, Cordylidae. The transcript has 5 exons.